This 92-nucleotide microRNA precursor is filed under the name Canis lupus familiaris (dog). RNAcentral describes it as "mir-8799 microRNA precursor family". It matches the Rfam family "mir-8799 microRNA precursor family". Lineage: Eukaryota; Metazoa; Chordata; Mammalia; Carnivora; Canidae. The record is from Rfam by way of RNAcentral.
GGGCAGAGCGCCGGAUCUUGGGCUGUAUCCCCGGCACCCUGGGCUCCACGGCCUGCGCCGUUGGAUUCGCGCUCCGGGCCGGGCAGCCCCCU